CCCUUAGAUGUUCUGGGCGGCCCGCGCACUACAAUGGCGCUUUCAGCGAGUUCCUAUGUUGAAUUUUCCUGGGUAUUCUUGGAAGCGGCGUCUUGACUUGGGAUAGAUCCUUGUAAUUGUUGGUUUUGAACGAGGAAUUCCUUGUAAUCGCGGUUGAUCAGCUCGCGUUGAAUACGUCCCUGCCCUUUGUACACACCGCCCGUCGCUACUACCGAUUGAAUGGUUUAGUGAGAUCUUCGGAUUGGCGCCACUGCGGCUCAGCAAUGGGCUCGGUGGAUGCCGAAAAGUUGAUCAAACUUGAUCAUUUAGAGGAAGUAAAAGUCGUAACA
This 329-nucleotide ribosomal RNA is filed under the name uncultured eukaryote. RNAcentral describes it as "partial 18S ribosomal RNA". It matches the Rfam family "Eukaryotic small subunit ribosomal RNA", at positions 1470 to 1796 of the family's 1831-position model. The record is from RNAcentral.